ACGAAAAAUGAAUACCAAGUCUCAAGAGUGAACACGUAAUUCAUUACGAAGUUUAAUUCAUUGAGCAUCAAACUUUUAAAUUGAAGAGUUUGAUCAUGGCUCAGAUUGAACGCUGGCGGCAGGCCUAACACAUGCAAGUCGAACGGUAACAGGAAGCAGCUUGCUGCUUUGCUGACGAGUGGCGGACGGGNNNNNNNNNNNNNNNNNNNNGAGUAAUGUCUGGGAAACUGCCUGAUGGAGGGGGAUAACUACUGGAAACGGUGGCUAAUACCGCAUAACGUCGCAAGACCAAAGAGGGGGACCUUCGGGCCUCUUGCCAUCAGAUGUGCCCAGAUGGGAUUAGCUUGUUGGUGAGGUAACGGCUCACCAAGGCGACGAUCCCUAGCUGGUCUGAGAGGAUGACCAGCCACACUGGAACUGAGACACGGUCCAGACUCCUACGGGAGGCAGCAGUGGGGAAUAUUGCACAAUGGGCGCAAGCCUGAUGCAGCCAUGCCGCGUGUAUGAAGAAGGCCUUCGGGUUGUAAAGUACUUUCAGCGGGGAGGAAGGUGUUGUGGUUAAUAACCGCAGCAAUUGACGUUACCCGCAGAAGAAGCACCGGCUAACUCCGUGCCAGCAGCCGCGGUAAUACGGAGGGUGCAAGCGUUAAUCGGAAUUACUGGGCGUAAAGCGCACGCAGGCGGUCUGUCAAGUCGGAUGUGAAAUCCCCGGGCUCAACCUGGGAACUGCAUUCGAAACUGGCAGGCUUGAGUCUUGUAGAGGGGGGUAGAAUUCCAGGUGUAGCGGUGAAAUGCGUAGAGAUCUGGAGGAAUACCGGUGGCGAAGGCGGCCCCCUGGACAAAGACUGACGCUCAGGUGCGAAAGCGUGGGGAGCAAACAGGAUUAGAUACCCUGGUAGUCCACGCCGUAAACGAUGUCUACUUGGAGGUUGUGCCCUUGAGGCGUGGCUUCCGGAGCUAACGCGUUAAGUAGACCGCCUGGGGAGUACGGCCGCAAGGUUAAAACUCAAAUGAAUUGACGGGGGCCCGCACAAGCGGUGGAGCAUGUGGUUUAAUUCGAUGCAACGCGAAGAACCUUACCUGGUCUUGACAUCCACGGAAGUUUUCAGAGAUGAGAAUGUGCCUUCGGGAACCGUGAGACAGGUGCUGCAUGGCUGUCGUCAGCUCGUGUUGUGAAAUGUUGGGUUAAGUCCCGCAACGAGCGCAACCCUUAUCCUUUGUUGCCAGCGGUCCGGCCGGGAACUCAAAGGAGACUGCCAGUGAUAAACUGGAGGAAGGUGGGGAUGACGUCAAGUCAUCAUGGCCCUUACGACCAGGGCUACACACGUGCUACAAUGGCGCAUACAAAGAGAAGCGACCUCGCGAGAGCAAGCGGACCUCAUAAAGUGCGUCGUAGUCCGGAUUGGAGUCUGCAACUCGACUCCAUGAAGUCGGAAUCGCUAGUAAUCGUGGAUCAGAAUGCCACGGUGAAUACGUUCCCGGGCCUUGUACACACCGCCCGUCACACCAUGGGAGUGGGUUGCAAAAGAAGUAGGUAGCUUAACCUUCGGGAGGGCGCUUACCACUUUGUGAUUCAUGACUGGGGUGAAGUCGUAACAAGGUAACCGUAGGGGAACCUGCGGUUGGAUCACCUCCUUACCUUAAAGAAGCGUACUUUGCAGUGCUCACACAGAUUGUCUGAUGAAAA
Molecule: ribosomal RNA, 1687 nt
Filed under: Salmonella enterica subsp. enterica serovar Paratyphi A
Lineage: Bacteria; Pseudomonadati; Pseudomonadota; Gammaproteobacteria; Enterobacterales; Enterobacteriaceae
Description: bacterial SSU rRNA
Rfam family: Bacterial small subunit ribosomal RNA
Source: RNAcentral